CCUACGGGAGGCAGCAGUGGGGAAUUUUGGACAAUGGGCGCAAGCCUGAUCCAGCAAUGCCGCGUGCAGGAUGAAGGCCUUCGGGUUGUAAACUGCUUUUGUACGGAACGAAACGGUCUGCUUUAAUACAGUGGGCUAAUGACGGUACCGUAAGAAUAAGCACCGGCUAACUACGUGCCAGCAGCCGCGGUAAUACGUAGGGUGCGAGCGUUAAUCGGAAUUACUGGGCGUAAAGCGUGCGCAGGCGGUUAUAUAAGACAGAUGUGAAAUCCCCGGGCUCAACCUGGGACCUGCAUUUGUGACUGUAUAGCUAGAGUACGGUAGAGGGGGAUGGAAUUCCGCGUGUAGCAGUGAAAUGCGUAGAUAUGCGGAGGAACACCGAUGGCGAAGGCAAUCCCCUGGACCUGUACUGACGCUCAUGCACGAAAGCGUGGGGAGCAAACAGGAUUAGAUACCCUGGUAGUCCACGCCCUAAACGAUGUCAACUGGUUGUUGGGUCUUCACUGACUCAGUAACGAAGCUAACGCGUGAAGUUGGCCGCCUGGGGAGUACGGCCGCGAAGGUUGAAACUCAAAGGAAUUGACGG
RNAcentral lists this ribosomal RNA (586 nucleotides) under uncultured bacterium. RNAcentral describes it as "bacterial SSU rRNA". It matches the Rfam family "Bacterial small subunit ribosomal RNA", at positions 338 to 916 of the family's 1533-position model. The record is from RNAcentral.